Molecule: ribosomal RNA, 521 nt
Filed under: Candida tropicalis
Lineage: Eukaryota; Fungi; Ascomycota; Pichiomycetes; Serinales; Debaryomycetaceae
Description: eukaryotic LSU rRNA
Rfam family: 5.8S ribosomal RNA (bases 166-319)
Source: RNAcentral
UAUAGGUGACCUGCGGAGGAUCAUUACUGAUUUGCUUAAUUGCACCACAUGUGUUUUUUAUUGAACAAAUUUCUUUGGUGGCGGGAGCAAUCCUACCGCCAGAGGUUAUAACUAAACCAAACUUUUUAUUUACAGUCAAACUUGAUUUAUUAUUACAAUAGUCAAAACUUUCAACAACGGAUCUCUUGGUUCUCGCAUCGAUGAAGAACGCAGCGAAAUGCGAUACGUAAUAUGAAUUGCAGAUAUUCGUGAAUCAUCGAAUCUUUGAACGCACAUUGCGCCCUUUGGUAUUCCAAAGGGCAUGCCUGUUUGAGCGUCAUUUCUCCCUCAAACCCCCGGGUUUGGUGUUGAGCAAUACGCUAGGUUUGUUUGAAAGAAUUUACGUGGAAACUUAUUUUAAGCGACUUAGGUUUAUCCAAAACGCUUAUUUUGCUAGUGGCCACCACAAUUUAUUUCAUAACUUUGACCUCAAAUCAGGUAGGACUACCCGCUGAACUUAAGCAUAUCAAUAAGCGGAGGAA